Molecule: unclassified non-coding RNA, 393 nt
Filed under: fungal sp.
Lineage: Eukaryota; Fungi
Description: partial internal transcribed spacer region
Rfam family: Eukaryotic small subunit ribosomal RNA (bases 1-46)
Source: RNAcentral
AAGUCGUAACAAGGUUUCCGUAGGUGAACCUGCGGAAGGAUCAUUAACACGUUAUCCACGUAUCACCAACGUGAACCGUUAAUUUCUACCUCUGUGCAGAAUGAGCAGCAACAAGAUAGGGUAGUGGAAGGGUCUUGACGCAAGUCGACCAGCUCUAUUUGUUAUUCGCGGCCGCAAGGCUUCGUACUGUUGUAUCUGUUUCGGGAGGCAUCUCUGGGCGAACAAGUCUCCUUCCAUGAAGUGGGCGCCUGGAAACUUAUUAUAACAAUUCUAACCCCUUUUUGCUAGUUGACUUUGAAAUGUUGUUCUCUUCUGCUCUCGGGCAGGGAAAGCACACGUUUAAUUAUUUGAACGUUAAAAAUACAACUCUUAGCAAUGGAUAUCUAGGUUCUC